This 486-nucleotide ribosomal RNA is filed under the name uncultured bacterium. Its description in RNAcentral is "partial 16S ribosomal RNA". It matches the Rfam family "Bacterial small subunit ribosomal RNA", at positions 30 to 507 of the family's 1533-position model. The record is from RNAcentral.
AUUGAACGCUGGCGGCAUGCCUUACACAUGCAAGUCGAACGGCAGCACGGGUGCUUGCCCCUGGUGGCGAGUGGCGAACGGGUGAGUAAUACAUCGGAACAUGUCCUGUAGUGGGGGAUAGCCCGGCGAAAGCCGGAUUAAUACCGCAUACGAUCCACGGAUGAAAGCGGGGGACCUUCGGGCCUCGCGCUAUAGGGUUGGCCGAUGGCUGAUUAGCUAGUUGGUGGGGUAAAGGCCUACCAAGGCGACGAUCAGUAGCUGGUCUGAGAGGACGACCAGCCACACUGGGACUGAGACACGGCCCAGACUCCUACGGGAGGCAGCAGUGGGGAAUUUUGGACAAUGGGCGAAAGCCUGAUCCAGCAAUGCCGCGUGUGUGAAGAAGGCCUUCGGGUUGUAAAGCACUUUUGUCCGGAAAGAAAUCCUUGACUCUAAUACCGUCGGGGGAUGACGGUACCGGAAGAAUAAGCACCGGCUAACUACGUG